Molecule: long non-coding RNA, 893 nt
Filed under: Homo sapiens (human)
Lineage: Eukaryota; Metazoa; Chordata; Mammalia; Primates; Hominidae
Description: HSALNT0317846
Source: RNAcentral
CCGGCUCACUGUAGACCAGUCAUUCUGAAAGAGCCCAUGAAAAACACCAAGUUCUCUCCUGCCUCAGGACUUUGUACCUGCUGCUUCAGUGCCUGGAAUACUGACUCCUUCCCAUGAAAAACACCAAGUUCUCUCCUGCCUCAGGACUUUGUACCUGCUGCUUCAGUGCCUGGAAUACUGACUCCUUCCCAUGAAAAACACCAAGUUCUCUCCUGCCUCAGGACUUUGUGCCUGCUGCUUCAGUGCCUGGAAUACUCAUUCCUUCCAUUGUUUGCACAAGCACCGCCAGGGGGUGGGGCUCACAGAGGCGCACUGCGGCAGGAACUGGAUGUGGGUGUCAAGGUGGUCACAGAACAGACGGCUGGGUCAGCUCCCCAAGGAGAAGCCCUGAGCUGCCCAACAGGUCCCUCUUAGGCCCCACACUUCAGAGGCAGGGCUGCCACGCAUGCCUCCUGGAUCACCUCUUGGUGUCCCAUGGCCCCUGUGGGGCUCCUACCUGGCACAUCCUCACCUCCAGGCUCCCCCGGCUCCAACUCAGCAGGGAGGUGGGAGGUUGACGGGAGCAGGCAGGCAUGGGAGGGCUCAGCCGGGGUAUGAGGGGUGGGCAGAGUCCCCCCACCUGGCUCACCCUUUCUCUUCCUCUCCUCCUCUGGGCACCUUCUUUGACUCCCACAGGCUCCUAGCUCAGACCUCUCCACUCUUCCUGGCUUUCCUUCAGGGAGGUCAGGAAAGUCAGGGACCCGUGGAUAAAGACCAGGAGAACACAAUGAGCAGAAAAGCGUAGGCGAGCAGCUGGCAGCCACCAUCGCAUUUGCUCCCGGAAGGCAAGAGGAGGCAGAGAAAAUUCCAGAACCCAUUUAAGCGUCUGGGACCCUGAGAGACGGGAUUUCACC